AUCUGGUGGUGAGAACAGCUUGCACACAAUUUCUUGAACCUUUCUCAGUACUCAUACAAGCUUUCUCCACUAAGUUGCCUAAUUCCUGAAAUGUCUUUUCUAAUGGU
Molecule: small nucleolar RNA, 107 nt
Filed under: Glycine max (soybean)
Lineage: Eukaryota; Viridiplantae; Streptophyta; Magnoliopsida; Fabales; Fabaceae
Description: Plant small nucleolar RNA R71
Rfam family: Plant small nucleolar RNA R71
About the family: R71 is a member of the C/D box family of snoRNAs containing the C (UGAUGA) and D (CUGA) box motifs. Multiple nearly identical copies of this snoRNA have been identified in Arabidopsis, and it is thought to function as a 2'-O-ribose methylation guide for 18S ribosomal RNA.
Source: Rfam by way of RNAcentral